This 52-nucleotide transfer RNA is filed under the name Caprella scaura. Its description in RNAcentral is "tRNA-Ser(UCU)". Lineage: Eukaryota; Metazoa; Arthropoda; Malacostraca; Amphipoda; Caprellidae. The record is from RNAcentral.
AGAAGAAUAACAAAGAUUUCUAAUCUUUAUGCAGCUUUAAAGCUUUCUUCUU